UGGCGACGGGCCUGGGAUUGCUUGCUUUUUGUGAAAGGUGCUGCAUCAAGCUGAUGUUGCCUGCUUGCCAGAGGGCAUGCAGAUUCGAGCCUGAAUCAGGAUUCUGACCUUCCCCCGCACCUCUUUUCGCCCAUCCUUGUGGUCUGUAGGGUGGGUGAGGAGGAGGGCAGGGACUGUUUAUUUAAUUAACACUUUCAAAUUCUAUUUAAUCAUUAUUUUAACCUUGGAUUUUUGCUGCUAAUCGUAUUUGGGCUGGAUUGGGGGAGACAGGGUUUCAUUAUGCCUGGGAGAUGAGAAACCUUUGGAAGGGUGUCUUUUGAAAACUUGGGUCGUGAACUACAAUUUAGAUUGCUAACUUCUUUGCCCCGAUACCUUGUUUAGCACUGAAUGGGGCUGGCCCUGAAUUUCAUUUUAUCCCAGCCUCAUUUUUCUUUUAAUCAGUGAGAUUAGGAAUAUGUAUUGUGGUUUUUAUAGAAGACAAGAGUGGCUGAGAAACAUCCUCUAGAUUCUUAAUAAAUGACUCUUCCUCUGAUGUGAAAUAUCAGAAGUGUGAUGGUUUGUGGGGUUCCUCUUAGGGUUUUCUGGCCUGGACAUGACUUUGUUUGGGUGUGUUAGCUUUUUCCUUAAAACGAAAUUGCUGGUGGUUAUUUUUCAUUGCAGUUUUUGCCGUGAAAAGUGUAGAUUUUGCGGGGGGACUGGAGGCUGCAUCCUGUGCCGACAGAAAAUUAACUGACAUCUUUAAAAUAUCCUGGACUACAUAAUGGUUUUUCUACCAGAGUCAGACUGUACUGACAACCCUUAAUGCAGAUCUGCUUGCCAGCAGCUACUCUCUUUUAAAUAUGGGUUAGUUUAUCUUGCGGUUAGUGCUUCCGAUGAGGGUAAGGGAGGAAUGGGAAUACUGGGCUUUGUGCCUUUAAGAAGAAACCACGUGGCCUCUGAAUUCUCAGGCAGGUCUGGAGGCCGUAGUGCUAGUGCCGCCUCCCGAGAUCUUUAUUUAAAAAUCAUGGUAUUGGGUUGAAGAUGGAUUUGGCUUUUGGUGGAAAGGGGACUAGAUUCUUGGCAGAGGAGACGUGGCUCUGUGGGCAAAGCUGGGAGGCAGAAGUCCAGCACCAGAAAAUAAAAACAUCUUUGCCUCAGGCCCACCAUGGACCAAGUUAACCAGAAUUGAGCAUUUCAGCCUGGGAAGGGCUGAAGGUAGCAUGGCUGCGAGUCUGAUUUAGGGAGCUGUCCACAGUUUUAAUGUGCAUGACUACGAGGCAGAAGCUGCGCUUAGUAUCCAGAGAAGAGACUGAAGCUGUAGCCAAAUUCACUUUGUCCAACUGGAGUGGUUAGUGGUAGAAGCUAUGAUUGAAAGGCCUACUGACAGCAACUUAGUUUCUCUUUAUGAAUGAAGAUUUUCACCUACAGCUCUAAAAGUGUAGAGACUGACCUUCUCCCAAGAACCAAUAAGUACCAAAAAUGGAUGAAUCAUCUUGCAUAGAAACCUGAUAAAAUUCUUUUAAUAUUUGCCUUUGACAAUUGCCCUGUAAAUUAACAACCAGUUUUAAAAUAAAUAGUAUUUGAAUAA
Molecule: long non-coding RNA, 1567 nt
Organism: Trichosurus vulpecula (common brushtail)
Lineage: Eukaryota; Metazoa; Chordata; Mammalia; Diprotodontia; Phalangeridae
Exons: 5
Source: RefSeq, a predicted model, not a curated record